Molecule: long non-coding RNA, 2652 nt
Filed under: Cyclopterus lumpus (lumpfish)
Lineage: Eukaryota; Metazoa; Chordata; Actinopteri; Perciformes; Cyclopteridae
Description: lncRNA (ENSCLMG00005011831.1)
Source: RNAcentral
AUGAGUCUAGCACAGGCAGCACAGAUGGAGGAGAUGCCAACAGACAUAACCAUUUACCCGCUGAUCAUUUCCUUCUUCGAGAAGUUGACAGAUCAUCAGUUGGAACUGCUGUUAAAGGGCCAGAUGGAAGAGACCAACAUGGCCCCGUUGAGGGAGCUGCUUUUGGACAUAAUCAAGACCUUGACCACAGACUUCCUACCAACAUUUUGGACGACAGACGUGGUGACGGAAGAUAUAAUCAAGUUGGCUCUGGGCAACAGCGUCACAGACUGUUUUAAAGCUGCUCUGGGGGUCACCGUCCAAGGCCAGAGUCCCAGCGCAAAGCUCUUGAGGGACAUGAUCGCAGAAGAGGUCACAGCCACCAUCCAGUGCUCCAUGUCGUCUCCAGACACCCCGAUGGAGCAGUACAUCACUCCCCCCAGCAGGCUGGACCAGAUGCUGAAACAAGCCGUCAAGAUGAUCAAGGCGAUCGGGCGUAAGAUGAUGAUGAAUGUGUCCACGUGUAGUGAGGGAGAAGUUCUAGAGGAGUCAGAACAACCAACAACAUCUCAACUCAAAAAAACAGAACAGGAACCAGAACCAGCGGAGUCAGUAAAAGCAGAACUCUCUGAUGAAUCAGAGAGCCAAGCAGGGGACUUUCCAGAGGUUGAAUCAAUGAGUCUAGCACAGGCAGCACAGAUGGAGGAGAUGCCAGCAGACAGAUUAACCGUUCGCUCGCUGAUCGAUUCCUUCUUCGAGACGUUGACAGAUCAUCAGUUGGAACUGCUGUUAAAGGGCCAGAUGGAAGAGACCAACAUGGCCCCGUUGAGGGAGCUGCUUUUGGACAUAAUCAAGACCUUGACCACAGACUUCCUACCAACAUUUUGGACGACAGACGUGGUGACAGAAGAUAUAAUCAAGUUGGCUCUGGGCAACAGCGUCACAGACUGUUUUAAAGCUGCUCUGGGGGUCACCGUCCAAGGCCAGAGUCCCAGCGCAAAGCUCUUGAGGGACAUGAUCGCAGAAGAGGUCACAGCCACCAUCCAGUGCUCCAUGUCGUCUCCAGACACCCCGAUGGAGCAGUACAUCACUCCCCCCAGCAGGCUGGACCAGAUGCUGAAACAAGCCGUCAAGAUGAUCAAGGCGAUCGGGCGUAAGAUGAUGAUGAAUGUGUCCACGUGUAGUGAGGGAGAAGUUCUAGAGGAGUCAGAACAACCAACAACAUCUCAACUCAAAAAAACAGAACAGGAACCAGAACCAGCGGAGUCAGUAAAAGCAGAACUCUCUGAUUCAUCAGAGAGCCAAGCAGGGGACUUUCCAGAGGUUGAAUCAAUGAGUCUAGCACAGGCAGCACAGAUGGAGGAGAUGCCAGCAGACAGAUUAUCCAUGUGUAGUGAGGGACAAGUUCAGUCAGAUCAACCAUCAACAUCUCAACUCCCUCAGUUGCCACAUACGGCAGAAAAAACAGAGGUCUCAGCAGAAAGCAAAGCAAAUCCUCUGUUAAGAAAACAUUCAUGGUGUGACCCGUCAACCACUGAGGAGGAAGGUUCGGCUGAUUCUGUCGCCCCCAUUCAGAUUAUGGUUAAGGCAUAUAACAAGAAAAAAACUAAACUGAAACCAGCGCAGUCACUAAAAGCAGGUAGCUCUGAUGACUCAGAGAACCAAGAAGAGAAGGCACCACAUGUUUUUCGGAGGUCAAAAACUCUGAAAAAAACUAAACAGGAACCAGAACCAGCGGAGUCUGUAAAAGCAGGUACCUCUGAUGACUCAGAGAACCAAGAAGAGAAGGCACCACAUGUUUUUCAGAGGUCAAAAACUCUGAAAAAAACUAAACAGGAACCAGAACCAGCGGAGUCUGUAAAAGCAGGUACCUCUGUUGAAUCAGAGAGCCAAGAAGAGAACGCUCCAGAUGUUGACUCAAAAUCUCUGAACAAAAUAUUUUCAUGGGAUUUAAAUUCAAGCACUGAGCAGGAUGAUUCUGACGUCCCCUUUGAGGCUAACAUUAUGCCAUAUAACAAGAACCAAACUAAACAGGAACCAGAACCAGCGGAGUCAGUAAAAGCAGAAGCACAGGUUGAAUCAAAACCUUGGGAUGAAGGUUGGGAUUUUUCUGGCGGCCACAUUGAGAUAAAGGUUAUGUCAUAUAAGGGGAGAAAAGAAUGGAGGGAUUCUGGCAGCUGGAUGGAGGUUUUCUUUGUUCCGAGGGACGUGGUCGAGGAGGAGGUACCCUCAGCGACUCCUGCCCAUCCUUCGCAGGAACAAAAGAGGGAAAAUGCACUGUUAUUAUUCCUGGAGAACCUGGUGUCACGGACAAUAAAGAAGUGUAAGGUUCAAAUUAUCAUCGAGGACCCCGCUACCAUCAUCGAGCCUCUCAUGAAUAGGACGUGGGCCGCGGUCGAGGACAUCGACUUUGAUUCCUCCCCCAAAACCUUCGCCAACUUUGAGAAAACCCUCCUCAACGAUCUGAUCAAGAAGUGGGGCGGUCCACAAAUGUUGCUGCUCGACAUGAGAGCUGGGGAACCGAUACUUGAGGAGUUCAUCGCCUCUGCUGUCAAAACUCACCUGUUGGCGCCAGUAAAGCGGCGCAGCAGCAUCAGCCGGUUCUUCUCGUCCGUGGGCCGAACCAUCGCCAGCAUCUGCAAGAGAAAGCCGGUCGACAAGGCCGGUAGCUAA